GGGUUCUCCAUCUAUCGAAUGUUCAGCCCUAGGAAUCCCCAUCCGUAGGAUGCUCAGCCCUAGGGUUCUCCAUCCACAGGAUGCUCAGCCUUAGGGAGCUCCAUCUGUAGGAUGCUCGGCCCUAUGGAGCAGCACAUGUCAAUGCAGGGUGUUGGGAUGCUCAGGUUGCUCUGAUGCAAUCCUCUUCUCUUCCCCUGCAGUUUGCUGGCAGUGGGAGAGGCUCACUGGCCUCCGAUGGCCGCACCAACUCUUGGGCAUCUGGAGGGAAAGGGACCAACACCCUGACACACCUGUCCCAGCACAGCGGCUCGCUGCACGACGCUCAGUCCUUCAUGUUGCUGGAGGAGCCACACAGCCCUGGCUAUUCCCAACCUCUCCACUGCCUGCCCCACACCAACUGGCCGAGCACCGUGCUGCCUGUGCAGGAGCUGCGGAGGGGCAGCAGCACCAAGAAGCCUAAAGGCAGAUGUGGUCCAGGCACACAGGAUGUGGAACAGGCACCGUGCAGCCUCAUCCCCCAGCACCCCAUCCUGCCUGCUCUGUACAGUGAGCCAUACUGCACCUACAGCACACCGCAUCGCUCCACGGACCCCCCUGCACAGCUGGAACUGAGCAAUGUAAGGCUUCCUCCUCCCCAAUUCCUUCUGUUUUCCUCACUGUGAUGCUUGUGGGAAUAGCAGCCCUGAAGCGGUGUGGUGGGGGGCCUCCAUGGUGGGCAUCAGCUCUGCCAUUUGCUCUGUUUAGGUCCUGCAGUGUCAGAAGAUUGCCCAGCCCCUGCCUGGCAGGCACUGGAUGGAGGUGCUCGGGGCACAGAGACACCCCCAGCUUCCUGCUGAUGCUCCAUACCUUGCCAACGUGAGUUUGUCAGUGCAGCCCUGGGGCAGGGAGCAGCCCUGCAGUGCUGUAAGCACCUGGGGGCUUGAUUUGUUUCUCUCAGGGUUGGAGCCCGUUGUGUGAGUGCAACCUGGGGACUGGGGAGGGCAUGGGGUGCCCCAGGACUGCAGCACUGUGCUGUCCCCCAUCAGUGCAUCUCCUUCUUUCCAGGUGUCAUCUCUGCCAGAGGAACAUCUGGGCCCCUUGCUGCAGCCACCAGAUGAUGGCAUGGGUGCCUACGAUGUGCCAGAAGGCGGCUGCCUGCACCGUGACUCUGCAGUGUACCACGACUACGCUGAGCUGCAGAGCUUCCAGAGCGAGCUCAGCUAUGACAACCUGUGGGACGCCGAGGGCAGGGAGCCAGACAGCCCAGCACCCUGCUAUGAAGUGUGAGCAGAGGUCUCACCGGGCACAGGAUGACCCCUGGGCUCUGUUCUCCUACCCCAGUGGGUACAGGAAGCAAAGGGACCCGCAGCGAUCCCUGGGAGCAGUGUUAAGGACAUCCCAGAAUGGUUCCCAUUGCGGGGAGGGGGUAAGGGGGGGGACACAUCCUCCUCCCAUCCCUCAGUGUCUGGGGGAACCUGGGGAGAUCAGGGCACAAACAACAGGGGACAGAGUCUGGGUGCUAUCGCUCUGCAGCCUCUUGGCCAGAUCCCUCAGCACAUACGAGGUCAGCAGCAAACCCAAAUGUUUUCUUUUUUUUACCUGAGGCUCCAAAUUCUUAACCUUUGUCCCCUCCAGAGGCUGCAAACCAAACAUAGCGAUGAAAAUCUGUUUCGGUGCACACAAAGCAACCCAGCAGCGUUUUGUACUUGAAUGUCUACGUAUUACAUUGUACUUACCUGUAUUUUCCAGAAGGUAUCCAGCAAAGUUUACAUGCGAGGUUUGAGUGAAUUUGAUGUAUUUAAUGUGUAGAUGUGGCUGAGUAGGAGAUGUAUUUAAUGUUGAAGCUGUGGAUGAGGCUCGGUGCUGCAGUGUGUGUGUUGGGUUGGGUCUUCUGCUGUCGUUGUGUCGUUCCAGGUUUACCUUCUUGUUGGGAAGCUGUGUACUAAUAACCGAAAGGAUCUAUUUAUUCAGAAUGGAAUGGUACUGUGAGCCCUACAAUUACAGCACACCUUCCUCUGCCAGGCGUUGUUCUCUCUUUGCCAUCCCUGUGCCU
RNAcentral lists this long non-coding RNA (2032 nucleotides) under Phasianus colchicus (ring-necked pheasant). Its description in RNAcentral is "lncRNA (ENSPCLG00000021783.1)". The record is from RNAcentral. Lineage: Eukaryota; Metazoa; Chordata; Aves; Galliformes; Phasianidae.